RNAcentral lists this ribosomal RNA (433 nucleotides) under uncultured Coriobacteriaceae bacterium. Its description in RNAcentral is "partial 16S ribosomal RNA". It matches the Rfam family "Bacterial small subunit ribosomal RNA", at positions 341 to 792 of the family's 1533-position model. Lineage: Bacteria; Bacillati; Actinomycetota; Coriobacteriia; Coriobacteriales; Coriobacteriaceae. The record is from RNAcentral.
ACGGGAGGCAGCAGUGGGGAAUAUUGCACAAUGGGGGAAACCCUGAUGCAGCGACGCCGCGUGAACGAUGAAGUAUUUCGGUAUGUAAAGUUCUAUCAGCAGGGAAGAUAAUGACGGUACCUGACUAAGAAGCUCCGGCUAACUACGUGCCAGCAGCCGCGGUAAUACGUAGGGAGCGAGCGUUAUCCGGAUUCAUUGGGCGUAAAGCGCGCGUAGGCGGAUGCCUAAGCGGAACCUCUAACCCGAGGGCUCAACCCCCGGCCGGGUUCCGAACUGGGCGUCUCGAGUGCGGUAGGGGCAAGUGGAAUUCCAUGUGUAGCGGUGGAAUGCGCAGAUAUAUGGAAGAACACCGAUGGCGAAGGCAGCUUGCUGGGCCGUCACUGACGCUGAGGUGCGAAAGCGUGGGUAGCGAACAGGAUUAGAUACCCUGGUA